RNAcentral lists this ribosomal RNA (468 nucleotides) under uncultured bacterium. RNAcentral's name for it is "partial 16S ribosomal RNA". It matches the Rfam family "Bacterial small subunit ribosomal RNA", at positions 28 to 507 of the family's 1533-position model. The record is from RNAcentral.
GACGAACGCUGGCGGCGUGCUUAACACAUGCAAGUCGAACGGAAAGGCCCUGCUUUUGUGGGGUGCUCGAGUGGCGAACGGGUGAGUAACACGUGAGUAACCUGCCCUUGACUUUGGGAUAACUUCAGGAAACUGGGGCUAAUACCGGAUAGGAGCUCCUGCUGCAUGGUGGGGGUUGGAAAGUUUCGGCUGUUGUGGAUGGACUCGCGGCUUAUCAGCUUGUUGGUGGGGUAGGGGCUUACCAAGGCUUUGACGGGUAGCCGGCCUGAGAGGGUGACCGGCCACAUUGGGACUGAGAUACGGACCAGACGCCUACGGGAGGCAGCAGUGGGGAAUAUUGCACAAUGGGCGGAAGCCUGAGGCAGCAACGCCGCGUGCGGGAUGACGGCCUUCGGGUUGUAAACCGCUUUCGCCUGUGACGAAGCGUGAGUGACGGUAAUGGGUAAAGAAGCACCGGCUAACUACGUG